GGCCCUAUAGCUCAGGGGAUAGAGCAGAGGUUUCCUAAACCUUGUGUCGCAGGUUCGAUUCCUGCUAGGGCCGCCC
Molecule: transfer RNA, 76 nt
Filed under: Parenemella sanctibonifatiensis
Lineage: Bacteria; Bacillati; Actinomycetota; Actinomycetes; Propionibacteriales; Propionibacteriaceae
Description: Propionibacteriaceae bacterium NML 150081 tRNA-Arg
Rfam family: tRNA
About the family: Transfer RNA (tRNA) molecules are approximately 80 nucleotides in length.
Source: RNAcentral